Molecule: ribosomal RNA, 253 nt
Filed under: uncultured bacterium
Lineage: Bacteria
Description: partial 16S ribosomal RNA
Rfam family: Bacterial small subunit ribosomal RNA
Source: RNAcentral
UACGUAGGGUCCGAGCGUUGUCCGGAAUUACUGGGCGUAAAGAGCUCGUAGGUGGUUUGUCGCGUUGUUCGUGAAAACUCACAGCUCAACUGUGGGCGUGCGGGCGAUACGGGCAGACUGGAGUACUGCAGGGGAGACUGGAAUUCCUGGUGUAGCGGUGGAAUGCGCAGAUAUCAGGAGGAUCACCGGUGGCGAAGGCGGGUCUCUGGGCAGUAACUGACGCUGAGGAGCGAAAGCGUGGGGAGCGAACAGG